GUGGGGAAUUUUGGACAAUGGGCGCAAGCCUGAUCCAGCAAUGCCGCGUGCAGGAAGAAGGCCUUCGGGUUGUAAACUGCUUUUGUACGGAACGAAACGGUCCGGGUUAAUACCCUGGGCUAAUGACGGUACCGUAAGAAUAAGCACCGGCUAACUACGUGCCAGCAGCCGCGGUAAUACGUAGGGUGCAAGCGUUAAUCGGAAUUACUGGGCGUAAAGCGUGCGCAGGCGGUUUGGUAAGACAGGCGUGAAAUCCCCGGGCUCAACCUGGGAAUUGCGCUUGUGACUGCAAGGCUGGAGUGCGGCAGAGGGGGAUGGAAUUCCGCGUGUAGCAGUGAAAUGCGUAGAUAUGCGGAGGAACACCGAUGGCGAAGGCAAUCCCCUGGGCCUGCACUGACGCUCAUGCACGAAAGCGUGGGGAGCAAACAGGAUUAGAUACCCCGGUAGUCC
This 450-nucleotide ribosomal RNA is filed under the name uncultured bacterium. Its description in RNAcentral is "partial 16S ribosomal RNA". It matches the Rfam family "Bacterial small subunit ribosomal RNA", at positions 354 to 796 of the family's 1533-position model. The record is from RNAcentral.